RNAcentral lists this transfer RNA (72 nucleotides) under Camelus bactrianus (Bactrian camel). It matches the Rfam family "tRNA". From Rfam's summary of the family: Transfer RNA (tRNA) molecules are approximately 80 nucleotides in length. Their secondary structure includes four short double-helical elements and three loops (D, anti-codon, and T loops). Lineage: Eukaryota; Metazoa; Chordata; Mammalia; Artiodactyla; Camelidae. The record is from Rfam by way of RNAcentral. RNAcentral also lists the same sequence under 2 other names.
GGGGGUAUAGCUCAGUGGUAGAGAGCAUGCUUAGCGUGCACAAGGUCCUGGGUCCAAUCCCCAGUGCCUCCA